Molecule: long non-coding RNA, 3691 nt
Organism: Oreochromis aureus
Lineage: Eukaryota; Metazoa; Chordata; Actinopteri; Cichliformes; Cichlidae
Source: Ensembl
AUUAAUAACAGGGACUCUUCCUAUUCAAACGCAGUCUCCAGACCGUCACAGAGCUGUUGUGUUUCAGCAGAGGCCUGAAGAGUGGACACAGAUAAACCUCAUCUUACUUGAAGUUUAAGCAGAAUUUCCAAAUGUCUUUAAAAACAUAGAUGUUUUUCUUUUUUUUUCUUCUACUGAGUGUCAUCUGUUUUUGCCUCGGUUGCUGUUUCCCCACUUUUUCUGUGUAUGGGACCCAGACUCAUGCCAGAGAGUUGUGUUUUUUGGCAGGGAGGACGGGGUGACGUCGACAGGCGUGGUAAUAACAAUGAGAACACUAUUAAGUCCAGACUACGCGGGGUCUCGGAGAAAGAGAGAGAAGGAGAGGAAAAAAAUGUGGGGUGUGCCCUUAAAAUAUUAAAUUUAUGUAUUGAAACUCUCAUACCUGAGGUGGUAAAAAACUUUCACUCGAACUGAAACAAAUGCGACCACACUUUAUGGCAUUGGAGUUUCCUGUGAGUCGGGGAGUGCGCACAGAGAAUCCGAGCAGUACAGUACAUAGGAAAUGACUCAUAGGAGUGGAGCUGUUAGCGUGGGUGUGUGCGCGCUAUUAAAACAAGGCGCAGACUCCUCCGUAUGACUCACUCUGAUGCUCGCUUUUCCAUGCUGAAAACCAGCACGGACUGUUAAUCAGAUGAACUUUCGGGAAUUGUGUAGCCGACAGCGAGCAGCUUUCCCUCCGCAGAUAUCAUGGCUUUAAACGCUCUUUGCGCGCUCUGCGGACUUAUUAUUGCGGCGGUGACCACUUUCCAUGGUGUGAGCGCGCAGAAAACCUGCCUGAUCUGGUGUAGUUUCUACUUUCGCCUUUGUCUGCCCAGCACUGAUGAGGCGGCUCAUCAUCUCCUGAGGUCGGUGUAGCAAUAUAUUUGUUACAUGGUACUGCCGCAGUUUCCCACGCCUUCAUUUCCCUACUUUGAUAUGCGUCAGGUUCACCUCUGUGAGUUUUGCUAUUGCUCUCAGCGGUGGUUAAAGCCAGCAGUUUAAAGGCAAAUGUUACCACAAAUCAUGGCGCAGCUGGUUUCUUGUUAAAAUUGUUAAGCAUAAAAGACGUUUGCUUUCUUAAAAUUCUAUGCAAAUGCGUGUGUGAUGCAUUUGAUGAGGAAUGAUUAUCAUCAUUUAUCAAGUAUCUCUGGGCGGUUUCCUUGUUAUUAUCUGUAAUGCUGUCGUGUCUGGUAUUGUUUGACCUUAUUAGGUUGACUUUGAGUUGUAAUAUUGUUUUUGCAGAGAUUGUACUUCAUGCAUGUCUUCAGGGCAUAUGUGUUUCUUAACCAAAUGCAGGAUGUUGAAGCUGCAGAGAAAACCGCACGCUAUUAAAACAAGAAAACGGCCUCUGCUCUCAGCCUGUCUCACAUCUUUAGCCUUGUCCUUUCCUUAUCAUCUAGGAAGUGCACGGCUUUAAUUGUCCGCCUGGCUGGCUGCCAGAAUAAAGAAACGAAACUGUCCAUUGUGGCUGCAGAGGUAGACGUUUUCUGUCUGGGCUGAACCAAACUGCCACUUCUUUUUCUCACAGAUGCAAAUUUAUUCUCUGGAAGUCACACAUAUACGCGCAUAAGACAAUUCGACGGAAGCACUCUGUGAAAGCACAUCCUGCUCUUCACACACAUGGCCCGAAUGUUCACGCACGCCAAACCGACUACUUGUCUGUCGUGCAGAUGAGGUGCACCGACAGAUUCUCCUUCCUCGUUUCACUUUAUGAGAAGAGAAAUCAUUUGAUGUCCUGUUCAGGUCACAUGUUUUUACUGCACUGGGUCAGUGUCGGAGCUCGGAGUUCUGGAGCUCAGACUAUGAUGGUUGCUUGCCCUGUGAAUCAUGCAAGCAGUACCCGAAAACCCCGUCCUGCAACACAUGCAAAUCAGUGGAUGAGACACCCGACGUCUGGAAACUGGCAGCAAUCACCAGCUUCUCAGUACUGGCUGUGGUGCUGGUCAGCGCUGCACUGAUCAUCGGGGUCAUGGUGCAUCGACGCAAGUCGCACAAACGGCCUUUACGUGAACCUAUCGAAGAAACUGCGGGGCCACUUUAUCAAGCUUAAACCACUCACCUCAUCUUCCUCUGAAAACUGAUGUAACAGAACCAAGGAGCCACUGGUUACUAGCCGGGCGGAGGAAACCUCUGAACGGCGAACCGUGUACUCUGACUGCAGGGUAUACCUCGACCAGAAAUGGACCUUCUUUUUUUUUUUUUUAUUUAUUAGACUGUUUGGUGAAGAGAUAAGCUCAGUUCUCAUGCUUGGUGUAGGUCCAGUGGUUAAAACAGGACUUGCAAUGAGCAAAUCUCACACCUCUGUAGGUAUAUUAACAGCAUUAUACUAGUGGUAUCAUCUUUUAGAACUUGUGUGCCUUCAUAUUCCACUCCGUUGAGAUUUUGAUCUGGAUCAUUGGGGGGGGGUUAGGCAGGUUUGACUGAGAAUUAACCGUAAAACUAGAGUCUGCACGCCUGCAUUGCGUUGUGCUGUUUUCAGCAGGACUCCAGUGAAUGUAACACAGCUACAUCCGCCAGCUGGGCCACAGUUUGAUCCCCCCUGCUGUUCAGCGGGGUAACACAGGGCCUCUCUGUUGGUCAUUUACCACAACAGCCUCUGAAAGAUAGAUCACAUGUGAGUAACACAUACUGUUUGGCACAUUAAGGCCAUAUGAAUGUAGCUACCUUUUAAAAAAUCUUUUUAGGUGAAUUGUACUCCAACCUUUGUUCCUGCCAGUACCUGUUCUUGUAGUUGCCUGACGCAGUGAGAACGCUGUUGAGUAAAGGAGCAAACUGUACUCAUGCACUGUUACUGGGUCUCCUGAGACCAACACAGACCAUUUAUUGCAGGUCACUAAAAUAUUGUCUUGUCUGUUUUUUUUUCUUUUAUUUCAUUUAGAGUUUAGAUGUCAUUUUUGCCUAAAACAAACCCUGAAUUCACAUGACUGUUGCAGCAGCGCUUUGUAACCCAGGAUGCUUGAAACACUAGACGUACAGCCCCAAACUGCUAACAUGUGAGAAUGUUGUGAGGAAUGUACUGCAGAGAGGAAAACUAACUACACCUACAGUGUUUUAAACGGAGCUUCAGCAAUCACAGCGCUUUUCAGAUCUGCAGCAAGGCAAAAAAAAAAAAAAAUGGUUGCAACUGCAGUGGUCUGUAAUUUUGUUGCCGCUGAAGCCAACACGAACCACAGUGGACAGGGUUGUUGUUUUCAGCUUUUUUUUAAAUGUUUUUUUUCUCUUACCAACAUUGAACACGAUUCUUGUGAAUCCUUGUGAUAAUUUGGCACCGACAAUGAUUCAGGUCACGGAUCUGUCUGCUUGUGGGUGAACUGCUUGCCCUCUGGCAACAAAAUUGGGGAACCAUUUAACAUACAUUUUAUUGUCUGUUUUUGUUUCUUUUUUUAAUUUUUUAAAAGAGGUCUAUAUUAUUUAUUUUAGUAUGUUGAGCUGUUGUAAUGCAACGAGUGUGACAGACAAGCACAGUUUUAAAGGGACACCAGUGAAGAUUUUUUCAAAACGUCCACCAGGCCAGCUAUUACUGAACAAUAUCUUAACAUUUUCUACUUGUUUCUCUUGCCUUCUAGUUCUUCUUGUAUAUAAUGUAAAUGCACUGGCUUUUACUUAAUGCAAUCUUUAUAAACUGCUUUUUGUGUAGCAAAUGUAUUUUCACAAUAAAACUGACAAUUUCCAU